UACAGAGGGUGCAAGCGUUAUUCGGAAUUACUGGGCGUAAAGCGCGCGUAGGCUGUUCGAUAAGUCUGGUGUGAAAUCCCUGGGCUCAACCCAGGAAGUGCAUUGGAUACUGCCGAACUAGAGUAUGGAAGAGGAGAGUGGAAUUCCCGGUGUAGAGGUGAAAUUCGUAGAUAUCGGGAGGAACAACAGUGGCGAAGGCGACUCUCUGGGCCAUUACUGACGCUGAGGCGCGAAAGCGUGGGGAGCAAACAGGAUUAGAUACCCUGGUAGUCCACGCCGUAAACUAUGGAAACUAGACGCUGGACGGUCUUACCCGUUCAGUGUCGUAGCUAACGCGUUAAGUUUCCCGCCUGGGAAGUACGGUCGCAAGAUUAAA
This 376-nucleotide ribosomal RNA is filed under the name uncultured bacterium. Its description in RNAcentral is "bacterial SSU rRNA". It matches the Rfam family "Bacterial small subunit ribosomal RNA", at positions 524 to 898 of the family's 1533-position model. The record is from RNAcentral.